Molecule: ribosomal RNA, 372 nt
Filed under: uncultured organism
Description: bacterial SSU rRNA
Rfam family: Bacterial small subunit ribosomal RNA
Source: RNAcentral
CGGAGGGUGCAAGCGUUGUUCGGAUUUACUGGGCGUAAAGCGCGCGCAGGUGGGUGGACAAGUCGGAAGUGAAAUCCCAGGGCUCAACCCUGGGGCUGCUCCCGAAACUGUUCGUCUAGGGACUGGUAGAGGCUGGUAGAAUUCCCGGUGUAGUGGUGGAAUGCGUAGAGAUCGGGAAGAAUACCUGUGGCGAAGGCGGCCAGCUGGGCCAGAUCCGACACUGAGGCGCGAAAGCGUGGGGAGCAAACAGGAUUAGAUACCCUGGUAGUCCACGCCGUAAACGAUGGGCACUAGGCGCGGGUGGGAGCAACCCCUUCCGUGCCGCAGCUAACGCGAUAAGUGCCCCGCCUGGGGAGUACGGCCGCAAGGCUG